This 21629-nucleotide long non-coding RNA is filed under the name Cinara cedri. Lineage: Eukaryota; Metazoa; Arthropoda; Insecta; Hemiptera; Aphididae. The record is from RNAcentral.
CCUACCGUUUUUUCGUCCCGAAUAGGAUCCGCCUUCGCAACGCGACCAGUACCUCCGAGUUCUGAAUUUCGAACUACCCGCCGUAUCGUAUUGCGCGUGUUGAUCACUCGUAGGUCGUAUUAAAAUCAUUGGCCGGCCGUCGUGACUUACCGAGGUUAUCGUACGCCGUUGGUCGAGUGCCGGUGUCCGCGUCCGUGUCCGCGUCCGCGUCCGUGUCAGUGUCAGUGUCAGUGCCCGGUGUCAGUUUCCGCGUAUGUGCGUCGCCUUUUGUCGUCCGGCGUGGUGAAACGUAAGUACCUACUCUGCCGACGUUGACGAGUCGUGUCCCGACAACGACCGAGGGCAGAAAAAACUAUCCGACUACCGUACGCGAAUUCGUGUCCCAAGAAAAAGGGCGCGAUUAUAGCGAUUAGCUAUAGUGCCUCGAAAUUUAACCAUAGCACCGUACAAAAAAAAAAAAUUGAAAUUUUGAUCUAAAUCACCUCUGUUUUUUGCUCAUAAACAUUGCGUUGUCCAAAAAAAUAGUUCCCCCUUAAAAAAAAGUGUAUAUAUUAUUAUCAUUCCGACAUGAAUAUAAUUUAAUUAACUUUUAAUCAUGUUAAAAUCAAUCGUGAAAAAUAAAAAACUGAAAACUGUUCUGAGUUCGAAGUCAGAAAUUUGGGAAUGUAAGAUGUAUAGAAUAAUUUAAUUUAUAUCUGUACACAACGAACAAUCUCGAUUGUUUGUUCGAAGCGAAAUUCUCCAUCCACACUAUAGCAACAUGUUUUGCUUUAAAUUGAAAUACGAAUCAAUUAUACCGUAUGUCACCCUAAUGUUGUUCUAAUGUGGAUUAGACUUUACGCUCGACAUUAUUAUUAUUGUUUAAUUUUUUUUGUUUUUAAUCACUUAUUACAACUUAAACUUAAAAUUUUAAUAAUGACUAUACAAAACUAAAAAUCACCAACAUUUUUAAAAAUUUUACUACUUAUAAAAAGGGCCAACACAAAAAAGUAUUCUGUGAAAAAUUCAGACCUUAACGGUUAUAUUUAAUUAAAUUAAAGAAAAAAAAAAACAAAAUCGAAAAUAACAGAAAAUGCUAUUUUGUGAAUAUUCUAGUUUUCCAACGAGUUUUCCUGGGGUUUUUCAAUUAUUAAGACAAAUACGAAAAAAACAAAAUUUGUGGUAUAUCAACUAAAAACAAUUUUCUACCAGGAACUACCCCUAAUAAUGAUGAUUGGAGCAAUAUUUCGGGUAAAAAAGUUGUUUACAGACAGGAAAAAUAAACACACAUCGCAGUAAAAUCAAUAUAUUUCUCGCUCCGUUCAUAAUUCAAAACUUGUAACAUACAAAAAUUAUUGGAAAGGUCGGUUAAAAGUAUCGUAUCAAGUGUACCGUAUACACGAAUUCUCCAUAUUACAUUAAAAAACACAAACAAAAAUGUCCGUGUUUCCUCGCAGAGGCAUCAGUAAUUCUUAAAACGUGCCAACUUGCACGCCGAGACGAAUCUCUAAGUCCAAUUCGACAUUGAGAUAAGGUUAACCUCAACGGACGGAAAUUCUUUUUAUCGUUUUUCUUUUUAUUAAGCUGUCGAAAUGUACACUCAUUCCGAUUUAUGAACUUUGAAUACCUUGGGUCGGAUACAAUUUACUCAUUAUUGAUACUUACCCCUCCGCGCCUCCUUUUCCGUUUGACGAGUGACGAAUAAAGCCGAACAACUUACGGUAUAGCUGUCAAAAGAACCACUGUACUGUCGUUCAAAAGCCGUACGCGUUUUAUUAUUUUUUGAUCGACUACUGUGUAUGAAAUGUAAAAAAAAAAAUCGUGAAAAUAAAAAUAUCGAGUAGAUAAGUAUAAGGUGAACUCGUGGCUAUACAGAUACACGGAGGUCGUGAUUUUUCCGUUCAUGAAAAAUGCGUUUGUGAUCCGCAACAUCACCUCGCUUUAUAAAAUAUAUUUUAUGCUUUUUAUGAACUUACUCCUCUAUGGGCUAACUCCCCACCAUCAGUAAAUCGUCGUAGUAAAAACACGAAAUCUUAACCAAAAAAACUGGUCAAGUAAUAAAAUUGGUAGUGCUUUUUUUCGCUUCAAAGCCAAGGUAACCCAGAAAUCAACAAAAAUAAUUCCGAAAUAGUGUCGUCAUUAUAUUUUGUUGUCAGUAAUAGGAAUCUAGAAAACAAGUUCGAAUAAAAACUAUCGUCGGGCGAAAAUCUGUAUUCGCUGAGAUAUACGGUGUGAAAGAUUCAGAACCUUCUUGCUGACCAAAAAAGAGAUAAAAAAAAAAACUCAUCUAUAAGGGGCGAACGAUUGAGGGUUUCAAAAAACGCUCCCUCGAAAAAUUCCAUCUGGGAAAAAUGAGUAUUUUUCCGUAAAUCUGUGUCAUCUUUUGCUAAUCUAACAAUAACCGAACAAAGCUUAAUAAAACUAGCAGCAUUUUCGGUAUACUCGGCGUCUAAAAUGUAUAUAACGAGUUCAAUCGUGUGGACCGUCGUCGGGAACAGCGUUGUAGGUUUUCGCGAUCCAGUCGAGGUUUCACAUUGACGAGCUCAUCCGGACCGACUCGGGGGCGCGUCAAUGUUUUUGAACCUACUUCUCCCGAUGCCACCCCUUGUCGUCGGUAAAACUUUCCACUCGAUUCGUUAUGCACACUUACUGAAUACAAAAGCGCCGCCGUUGUUUAAUUUGUCAAGCUCGCGAGACUGGUUAAGUCUCUGCUACAGCAUCAGACGAUACGCGGGGAUCAUCGGUGUAAUGAUGAACACUAUAGGAACAUAAAAUAUAUACUUAUAUAUUAUACUAUAACAUAAACUUUCAAACCGAUACUUGACACAUAUAAUUAUUAUAAUAAAUCGUGAGGAUAGGCAAUUUCCAACGUUUUUUUUUCCACUAUUAUAACAUAAUGCUUAAAAUUCAUCGUUUACAGUAUUAUCGAAACAAAUCGCACUUUGCGGGGUUUCCGGAGAGCUCUUUCUUCGAGUGGAAAAUAAUAACACCUACAUUAUUUUUGUUAUGUCUACGGCGCGUUUUGAGAGGGUGUUUCACUCAGAAGGUAACGCGAAACCAUCCGGCCUUAUCGAUCAAAAUGGGUUUUUCCAGGCAGAAUCGGGGGGAAGGGGAGAGGUAUACCUAGAGAGAAGCAUACCAAGAAAGAGGUAUAAGUUUGGUGAAUAUCGACGAUUAUUCUUGUUUUUUUAAUACACUUUAGAUGCGGCCGGACGACUUUCGAGAUUGAAAAUAAAUUGCAUUGGUCAAAGUUGCUGGAAAUCAGCAAUGUUUGAACGAAACACACCGUAUUUUGUAUUUCUACCGUACGACCGAAUCACUUAAAACCUAUAUUAUUGUUGUUUGUCAAUCGCAAGAGUUCAAAUUAAUGAAACGGAAAAUGAAAUCGUAGCGUAUAAGUGUGGUAACAAAAAUACAUUAUAUAGUAUAAUAUGUAUGUAGGCAAAUCAUAAUAUAUAUUUUAUUUACUCGUCACGGUUAUCUGCAGCUCUGGUUGUGUACCGUUUUAUUAUCUUUAGAGCUUUUUGAUUUAGAUUGCAGUCUGUAAAUUGUAUUAUUAUUUUGACGGUCAGCUGUUUAUCCCCGCACGGUCAUUGAUUUUGCAAUAACGAUGAUGUGCGGAUUGCGGAACCGAUGCUAACGUUAAGAAAAUCGGGCGAAAAAAAAAAUCGUUUUUCUUCGCAGUUUAAUUAAAAACUGAUAAAUUAUUCAAUAAAAAAAAAAAAAAAAAAAUAGCUAAUACUGCUUGGGGUGUGUGAUUGUUUUUGGAGGGGAGUUGAACGAUAUGGUACAUAGAGUAAUUUAUUUUAUAUACCUAUGUACUGAUACAUCAUUACAAACGAAAAACUAUCCCGAGUGUUAUUAGUUGUAUAUAUUUUUUCUUGUUGUCAAAGUAACCCUCAAAUCAAUGAAAAUUAUAAAAUUAAUAAAUUACCAAGUUUUCCCAUUUAUUUAUAGAUUAAUUAUUGACCUUUGCAUCAACUAGAUCAAAAGUACUGCAAUUAAGUCCCCUUGAUGUCUUUGAUAGGAAUAUAUCUUGUAGGGAAGUUUUACUGAUUAAAACAGUCACACACACACACACACACACAUAUUCGUACACAAAAUAUAUCAUAGUAAAAUCAUGCUCGCUUCGCCUAAAACUGAGUUGAUGUUAGAUUGAAUUAACUAGGUCUAAAUUGAGCCUUCAUAUUUGUUUAAUUCAUUUUUUUUUUUUUUGGUUCUGGGCAAUGUAGAACACACCCCCCUCAUCUCUCGUAUUCAUUAAGUAAACUUUUCGCAAUAUUUUUUAAUACUAAUUUUAUUGUAUCGCGGGGAGAAGAAAAAAUAAUAAAAGUCCCAAAUGAAACGAAAUGCAGCCAUACAAUUUUUGAUAAAGUGUAUUAUGCUGUGAUGUACAGGCGAUCAUAGUUUAAAAAACAAAUCAGGAAAGGCACACGUAAAUAAUAAUUGAUAAGUAAGCACUCUAUAAUUAACACGUAUAAGUUCUAUUCGGAUAUUUUUCGUGGUUUUUAUGAAAAAAAUUGUGAUAUUGACCACUAGGUGCGUAUUGGGGAUAGUAGGAUAUAUUAUAAAUAUAUGUAGUAUAUAAUAUAGAUUUUAGAUUAUAUUAUACCAGUGUAUAUUAUGUAGUUUUGUAUGUAUACUGUGUGUAAGGAUAUAUUUUAUUUAUAUUAUAUAUAUUUUCACUGGAUAUUAAAAAAAAAAAAAAUUCUGAGUGGAGUAGUUUUUUUCCCCUUGUCGUGAAGGUAACUCGUGACAUCAACAACAAAUGCCCCAUUCUUCCCAAUUUUUAAAAAGACUACAAGGGUGAUACAAAUAAUAAGCAAUUUCACACGUGGGUGCAGCCACUACUGUAAGUGAGAAGUUGGAAAGGUAGUAGAGGGGAAAUUUAAUGGUAUAUCUGUAAUCAAUGAUAAAUCAUUGCUAACGAAAAACGGUUCUGAGCAGAGUGCGGUUAAUAAUGUUCCUUUGUCAACAAUAUAUUUACCAAAUUAUGGUAAAAUAAUUACAUAGGCAUUCUGUAUUUUCUUUAAUAAUACUUGUUUAAUAUUUUUUAUCUAUUUUCCCGUUUUUCCUGCGGUUUUUUCAUGUUUUUCCUGCAGUUUUCCCGUUUUUUUGGAAAACUAGUAAAAAAAUUAAAAAAUUACCUUUUUAAAGUACCUUUCCAGUCAGAUUUCCUUUUAGAUAAAUUGUUAUUAUUAUAAAUCAGGGCCAAAUUACUGGUGGAAAAGUUGUCCAUAGAAAAAAAAUAAAAAAAAAAUAAACAUCUUUGUAAAACCAUAAGCUUCUAUUCGCUCAACUCAAAAUCUAAAAAACCCAUCUUCUUCCAAUGCACCAAAUAAAUUCAAAAUUCUACGAGGAUGCAAUAAUUGAUUGGAAUAAUAUUUAUGGUAAAGUUAUUAAUAAAUUGAAAAAAAAAACACAUUGUAUAAAAAAAAACCAAUACAUUCCUCGCGACGCUCAGAAACUAAAAUGUAUAGUUUUAAGUAAUGGGAUUUCAAACAAGCGAUUCGUAUUUUCAUAACAAUCUCAACCGACUGUAAGUAACAAUGAUGCCUGUCCACUUUUUUAUUUUAAUGAAAUCAAAAAAAUAUAUAUUUAAAUGUGCUAUAGUAAAUUAACGUUCAUUCAAGAAUAAAGUUUUGCAGUGCGUUAAUUAUUGAUAAUUAUCAUUUAUUUUCGAACUUAAUAUAUUAUAAUACUUAGUAAGUAUACACACCACAAUAUUGUUAUUAUCAUCAGCACUAUUAGUUUUUGUUUUCUGGCGUAUAGUUCAUUACAAAUUGCGACCCACUCAAAAACAGAUAAGCCUCUAUAGGUAUAGUUCGAUGAAUAUCAAUAUUUUUUUAGGAAUUUUUUUAAUAUAUUUUUUUUAAAUUUUUUGUUAUAAAUAACAUUAAUUAAAUUAUUUUCGAUUAAAAAGUUAUUUAUAAAAAAAUAAAAUAAAAAAUGUUCCAAAAUCUAAGUAGAUUAUGUUGAAAUAAUUGCUUUUUACACUACACCUAGCUGUAAACUCAUCGCGAUUAUUUUUAUUUACUAUGAUAUAUAUUUACUUACGACGCCACCGUAUUCAUUCAUAUACUCAAUUAUUAAUAGUUGUUAAUAUUAGAAUAAUAAAUAUUGAAAUUUUUAAUUAAAAUGUUAUUAUCUACCUAACGUUGUAGCGUUACAUUAAGUUUUAAAUUUAGUUCAAAUAUAAAUCAAAAACUUAUAUUGUUUUAUACUAAGUAAGAAAAAAAAAGUUCAUCAAAACCGUUUUAUCGUAUCCUGUACCACAGAAUAUUAUCGAACUUUGCCGUCUUUAACAGAUACUCCGUGGCGAGUUAAACAUUUUGAAGGUCACGAAUCACGAUGUCUACAGAGCGAUUCACUAAUUAUGAAUAAACGAUUUUCUUGGAGAAUUUUAAACGAAUUUCAUUAUUUCUUUAUUUUUUUUUAAUCAUUAUGGAAUUAUUUAAGCUUUAUUUUAAUUUCGUAUUAAUAAUUUUUGUAAUCUUCAAUUUUAAACACAGAUUGAAAUAGUGACUAUGCUUCUAAUGACUUUGAUAUGAAUAAAAUUAAUACAACAUUUACCGUUUAUGUUUUUGAGUUAUAAGUUAUAAUUAAGCAAGGGUUAUCAAACUAUCACCUAAAAUUAACAUAUAAAUAAUCACAAAAUAAUUCCUACUUUUCUAGUCUAAAUGUUAAACUGUUAUAAACGAUGAAUUGUAUAUAUUAUAGUGUUAUAUGUAAUCAAUUUUUUAGAUAAAUAUUUUCUACUAAAAUCUGUGUUUAAAGGAGAAGGAAUGGGUUCCUAUUUAAAAAUCAAAAAUGGUUUAAAAAUGAAACUUAAAUAAUUCAUAAUGAUUGAAAACAUAAAAAUCAAAUUCACCAAGAAUUCUCCAAGAAAAUCGUUGGUUCGUGAUAAGUGGAUUGUUUUGUAUUCAUUUUUAAAUUUUUAGUGUUUUGAAAUAAAAGAUUUACACUAACAAAUGAUUAAGGCUGGUUUAUCAUACGUCAUUUAAUUUAGGUGUUUAAUGAUUCGGACGCAUGAAAAAAAAAACAACUUUGAAACAAUAUCGCUUUAAACGCCAAAACGAUAAUUCAUUUGGACCUGAAGAAUUUAUAGCACUCCGACGAUUUUUUUUACUAAAAUAGAGGUGUAGGAAAUUUAUUUGUAGGAAGGUAUUUGGGGUUUAACACCCAUUUUGAAAUAACUACAGGAAGUCGGUUAGUCAUUUUUUAAAAAUAAUGAAUUUCGCUCGGAAAAAACUUUUUGUGAAGUAAAAAUGCUGAAAAACUGUUCCCAUCUUAAAACAUGUGAAGUCUUCACACGUUAUUAAAAACAUUUUUCUAAAAAAAAAAACUGAUAAGGUUAACUAAUACGAUGAAUGUAUCAGUUUUAUUUUUUGGUGAUUUUUGGGUUACUACAUGGCUAUACGUAUACAAAACUGAAAGAAAAACACGAUAAUCUAUAUUUUCACUCCGUUCAGAAACGUUUUUCCAUUGCAAUAGUUUGUACCAUCGCUUUUAGUAUAUAUAAUAUGAACUAAACAAUAUCCUUCUUUAUCCAAUAUACUAUCCGAACUUCCCACUCGCAAUAAUGGCCUGUUCUUGGCACGGAGUAUGUAUUUACGGCUUUGUUUUUUUUUCACUUUUAUAAUUUUAUGGCGUAUACGAUGAAAUCAUUCGAUAAUUUCAAUAAACUGUCGCAGACUGCUAAUAUUGUGUCUAUGACCAAAUUAGUUCCGUCGUGAUCGUAUAAAAUGCGUAUACGAUAAUGAGUUCAGCGUAAAGUGCUGGGGCGUCGGUUCAGGGACAUCGGGAUCAUAAAAAAAACACGCUGCGAAAGUCAUGUUGUAAAAAAAAAAAAAUAAAAAAAAAUAAUAAUAACAAUAAAAAUAUAUUAAUAUUGUAUAUCCGAUCAUAUCGUCGACGGUUUAUAUUAUAUAAUAAAAAGUAAUAAAUCACUGUGUACCUAUACACCACACAAAACAAACACGGAUCCGUCUAACAAUGACGCCACGUAUAAAAAUGCAUUUUUUUUUCAUCAUUAAACGGAUUUUUUUUUAUAUCAUCUGUGUUGCACGAGCGUGUUGCCAAACGAAAAAUCGUCUCGAAUCUCUGCGGUAUUGGUUUCCCAUAAUGUACACGAUGAAUAUGAGUGUUGGUUUUUUUCUAACUGUGAAUAGCAGUAGCGGAUUUAGUUCUCUACCUAGUGGUUCAAUAUUUUUAAUAUAUAAUAUGUAUAAAUUAUUGGAAAAAAAAAUAUUUACGUAUACAGUUAAACAAAAUGUCUAGGUGGGCUCCUAUUUCCCCCCCCCUCCCCUUAAACGCUGAUUCUGGUGAAAAUGCUUUCGAGAGACUCGUGAUCUUUAAAAUUGAAAACAUCAAUGGAGGAUUCUUGUAUAAAGUUUCGAAUCAGACACGUAACCAGGUUUUUUUUUCGACGGGAAGUCCAAACAUAAAAUUUAUUAUCAGCUACCAAUUGUUUGCAGGGGAAAAGAAAUAAAAACGUAAUGGGUAGAAAAUCAAAGUGCCAUCUGUUUUUGAGGAGGGGUCCAGACCUCGUAUACUCCCUUGGUUACGUACCUGUUUUGGAUUUAUUCGUUGCAACGGGAAGACGAAUUUGUUUUAAAUAUUUCAUGUUUUACCUAACAAUUUCAAUAAAAAAUUUACGAAAACCGUCAAAAAAAUGAUUUUUUCCCUGUUGUACUCAUUGCGAAUUAAUUACAAAAACCUAGAAUUUUCAACCGAAUUACUACUAUGUAAUAUACGUGAACAUUUUCUAUGUUUCCCUUUUCGAUUUAGUUUCGGCUGUUGUUAACAAUUAAUGAAUUAUUGUUUUCGAUUUAUGCUGAUAACAAUUUUUGGUCACGUCUCGAAAUUUGAUACGGUUUAAUAGUAUCUAGCCAAAGGAAAAACAUAUCCUAUCAAGUCGAAAUUUUGAAGAAAAUUAAUUUCUAGUUAAAAAUUGCAUAGAUGGUAUAAUAAUUUUAAAAUUCAAAUUUAUUAAAAAAAAAAUCAAAUCUUUUUAAUGAGGUUCGAACUGAGAAUUAUCAGUUUGUUUUUGUUUUAAUUUAUCGUAUUAAAUUCUGUACUGUACCCAAAUUUGUUUUAUUUUUGAAUUUUCACACUUUUCGUUAACAUAUACUGGCGCGCGAUAGUGUCGAGAUCGUUCUCGUUAUGAAAAGUGUAAAGUGAAAUUUUAACUUUGCCGGUAAACUAAAAUUUAAUAUUUUCAACGGCUUAAAAAUCAUUGACAUUCUAAAUUAUUGUCUUCAAAAAUCUGCGAAAAAGUAAAUAAUUUAUGAACCUUAAAUUAUUAAAUUUCAAGUUUAAAAAAAAACUUAAAAACGUCCAAAAUUAAAAUAUUAAUUGGUUAGUAACCUUAACUUAACAUUAGACAUUUAGUCAAAAUACAACAACUCGUAAUUGUCCGUACCUAUAUAUCAUUGUAUAUUCUAGACUUGAACGAAGACGACUCUUGGAAAUAUUUCACCGUAAAAUAAAAUCGUAUUGGGUCUGUGUUGACACUGGGUUUCACUUUGUUCACGACGGUGACGAUAAUAAUAUAGUGAAAUCAAAUUUAGGUGGCUUUAUGUAUUAUUAUUACCACUGGGUAACCUCCCUAGUUAUUAGAUUCGUUGUUAUUUAUUAUAUUUCGUCAUUUAUCAAAUCUGCUCAUCGUACAUGAUUGUAUGGAUUGCAGAUUUGUUUAUUUAAUAAAAAAAAUAGAGGUAGGCAUGCAUACCUACAUAAUAUACUAUAAUAAAAGACUUCUUUUGUCUCGUCUUGCCGUUAUCGAGACGAGGGUCGCAGAUAUAUACGCGAGCGGACGUUAUUCGACUCUGACUUGAGAAUAAAACUUUUGCGGCGACGAUUCGUCGAGUGACAAAAUCGCCGCGACCGGGUCGCCUAAUCCAUUUACGACGGGGUGGUUUUUUUUAUUCUGUUUUUACACACGUACCGCUGGACUUUUCCAUUAUAUUAUUUUAAUAUACGAUCGCGAUUUAGAUAGGUAGUAGGUACGUUUCCUGGGUUUCCCGUGUAUAUUACCUCCGAGGGACAGUAUUUCCGACCCGCGUACAGAUACCAUUUGGGGGGAGGGGGAGGCGGUGGUUCAAUCCGGUAAGCCAAAAUUUAGUCAAACUUUUGUACUUACGUCGCCGCGGGCGUUAUUAAUCACUUGCAGGUAUUAGAAAAAAAAAACAAAGAAAAAAAAAGUUAUGAAAGUAUUUUCUUGAUGUUUAUAUUAUAACAUUAUAAUAUUAUGUACCUACCUAUAUUGUUAUAAUAGUGUCUACAUAGAUAUUUGUUUUUAUACAUUAUUCAUUGGCCUUUUUCGAGGAAAAAAUCAAAACUCGAAGGUCUUGUUAUUAUAUUAACGCUAGAUAAUUUUUGACGAGGGCGUCACGAAAACGACAUCCUAUUUUGGUCAGCAUUUUUUUGCCGACGAACUCUUAGGUAGUGCGGAUUAUAUUCGACGGCCGUAUAGGUGAUAUGGGUGAAUCGAUCUGUUUAAACGAGUGUUUAUUUUACCGAAAAUAUCGUUUUAGGGGUCGAAAAAGAAAACAAUCUCGGCUCUCGUUUCUACCGAUGAGGCUCCGACGAACAUUGGUUUGUUACUACGGGUGUGUGUGCCUAUUUUAUUUCGUCAAAAUAUCACGGAACAAAUCGCUAUCUAUAGUGUUAAAUUUAAAAUUUAAAUUUCGCGAUUUCAGAUUCUGAGUUUAGCAAAGAAUAGCUAUUAGUUUUACUUUUAAUAUGUUUUUUUUUUCUUUUGGAAAAGCACUUUUUUGGCAAGUAAAACAUUCGGAUUUUUUAAGCCGUACUUCAAAAGAUGCAGAUUUUUCAACUAUUUCAUUAAAGUGGUAUUUUGUUCAAAAUGUUGGUCUAGACUCCUGAUGUUUUUCUAAACGGUUCAAAAAAACCGAUAACAAACGACGAUUUAUCGGUUUUAUUUUUAAUGAUUUUUAAGUUAAUCUAAAGCUCCUCACAGAGUCGUUAUUGAAAGCAAUCAUUUAGUUGUGCUUUGAUUAUAUAAACUAUAUUGCCCAAAACAGAAGUGCGAAGUUGGCAAGUUUUGUUUUUUUUUCCAAUAACGAACGUUUCCGACCAAAAGUAUUUCUAUACUUUUCAUUUGCCGCCACCCAAACGGAUAUUAUUCAUUUUCAGGUAAAACUAUAUAAUUUACACUCGCCUAAACGACCAUUGUCCGGUUCGAGUGCCUAUUUAGGUAAAAACGGACGAGACUAUACAUCAUGAUGUUGCUGUUCGUAACAAUAAGUGCAACAAUAUUGCGUGUAUAUAGUAAUCUACAGUCUACAUGGAUAAAACGUUCUGUAUCCUUAUACGUCCAUAUAUUAUAACACAAGAGCAUAUUAUUUCAUUUAAAUGUAUUAUAUGUGUCACUUAAUAUACCUAAUAAAGGGUGAUGGUGUUUUUUUUUCGAAUGAACCAUCGGUUGAUUUCGGGAAUUUUUGUUAUGAUCUUAUGCAUAAGGUUUUCAAAAUGUUAUCUAUGUAUUAUUAUAUUCUGUCUAUAUAUAAAUACCGAGAAACUGCAAAUGUUGAAAAAAAAAACUCAGGAAGAGUAGAUAGAUAUGAAAUAUAUUCACACUGGGAUCAGGCACGGAUCCAGAAAAUACUUUUUAUCUAAUAUCUAAUAGAACAAUCUCUAACAAUGGUGGAUAAAUGGUUAGAGAUAAAAUCCAAACAUAUCCUUUCAUUCAAUGUUCCAUCAUAAAAAUAGAGGCCUAUUAUGGAAUUUUCAACUAAUCCAUGCCAUACAUUUGUUGGAUGAGGACAUAUGGACCGAUAGCUUGGCCAAUGCAUUCAUCAGAUAUGACGCCUCUAGAUUUUUUUCUUUGGGGAUAUUUAAAAACUGUAGUUUAUGCUUACCUGCCGUUUAGUCUCCAGAAAUUCAAACAAAAAAAUUACUGAAGUAUGAUGCGCACAACUGAGAAACAAACAAAUUAUGGCAGCUACGCAAGAUGAAGUCAUACGAUGUUCAGAAGCGUGUUUACAACAUAAUGGAUAAAACUUCGAACAAUUUAUUAGAUAAUGAUGACUAAUGAGUAUUUUUUGUAAUAAAUUUUUCAAAAUCAAACUAGUUUAAUAAUAAUAAAAUAAUCUUGUUUCAACUUUAACUAGCUGUAUUUCGGCUAAUUUUCGAGAAAAGGGAAAAGUCCACUAGUAUAAGUUGCUUGAAAAAAAAAUAAAAUGGUUUAUCCAUAUCAAGUGUUGGAAGCAGGUAUUUCCAUUUAAAAGAAUACAAGUGUUGUUGCGCAUGUGAACAUUGAAAUGGGAACAAAUUUCAAAAUCCAUAUAAAAUGUGUAUUUCAAUAUUUUCUAUCUUCUCUUGAAAACCCCAUUUCAAUCCGAGGUCACUGGAUAGAAAUAUUUCGUGUUUUCCAUUUGAAUGAAACGUAUUAUGUAUUAAAAUUCAUUCUCUCUAUAUUUCAUUUAUUAAUAUUAAAAAUUAAAAAAUAACAAAUUAUUAUAAAAUAAAAUACAACAAAAGCUACAAUGAUGGUACAAACAUUACUGAUUCAAUAUAGCGUUAGAGCAUAACACAAAUAUAUAAUAAUGGUUUGAUAUCUUAUCUUGAAUAGUUGUUUUGACAAAUAUCGAUAUUAUUUAGAAUUUCGGAUAUGCAUAAAUAUAAGGAGGUACAUAAAUAUAAUAUAGCAAAUCAUUUUUGUUAUCGCAAUAAUAAUACUCAAUGUCGGCUCGUCGUGUCAGUCCCGUUCACGCUGCACACAUUUAGGUGCACUCCUGCGGAAUAAACGGCAUGGAAGAGUGUUAUGCCUAUCGAGAAUUUUAGAAGAACAUUUUCUUUUCGACUAUGCGUUUGAAAUUUGAAAAAUCAAAAGUGACGUAGGUUAGGUUAAACACAUAAUAUAUGUACAUGUGUAUUAUAAUGAUUUAGUAAAACGAAAACUUACUCAAUAUAAUUGUAGAUUAUCACGAAUUAUCCUGUAUCAGUACCAAAAUUUCAAUAUUUGUGUGUGCUAAUAUUUAGAAUGUAAUUAAUUACUAUAAUAUGCAACAAUUCGUGUGAAUACUGCCGAAUCCGGUAUUAAUUUUGCCUAGACGACAUAUAAACAAAAACACACGAGGUGGUAGGAGAAAUGUUUCCACGGCAAGUGAAAAGUAUUCGAAAUUUUUACGGUGUAUAUUCUAAAAUCGUGCUAUACGCCAUUAAAAUGUAUAAACGUUUCGUUCGUCAAGAAAUUGAAUGUUAAUAGUCUUAAAGUCGCGAAAAUAUGAGUUAUUAAUUAGUAAGUUUGUCGGAACGUUGUAUUAAUACAUCGGAUUGCGCUGUCACGAAAAAAGUUUUUUGAGGAGAACAUUAACCGGCCACUUUAUCACUACUCGUUACGUAUCCAUUUUAUUCAUAACCGUGAUUGCAUCGCAGAAUAGACGGUACUUACGCACCGUUUCUUCCCAAAUCGGUGGCACACGCACGCGUACUGAUCACACGUAAUUUUUCUGCGCGCUUGUUCGUCUGGAGUCGCGAUAAAUAUAAUUAUACAAGUAUUUUUCUUGUAAGUUUUAAGAGCGCUAUUACGAACCCCGUGCUACGGAACCAGAGACGCAUGUUAUUAAAAAAAAAAAAAAAAAAAAAAUUGUAAUUUACAGUUCUCUUCCAAUAUUAGAUAUUCCGUGACGACGAGGUACGCGAUGAUGAAUUAUUAAAUCGCAUUCCUUUUCUCUGCCAUAUAAUAAUAAUUAUUACGACCAGUGUGCAGUAUUGGUAUCUACGAAUAGAAGUUUUCUUUAUUUCCGGGAACGUGCACCGACCGAACCAACUGGAAAUAAAAUCCGAUCGUUAUAUUAAUUAGGACACGGUGUUUCGGUCAGAAAUGUUGCGCAGAAAACGAAACAAAAUUAACGAAAAAAAAAAAACCUUCGAAACUUUUGAAAAUAUUAUAAAAUUCAAGUUCAACGAAUCACACCCGAAACAAAAUGGUAGGGGAUAGUAUUAAUUUUUAAACAAAUCGCAUAACGUGGUUUCUCUUAUAAUUUUAUCACGAAACGUUUGUGUCCUGUAUUGAUCCCAGAUCAAUAGAUGAGUAUUAUUUUUCGGAAGGAACUCGAAAAUAUUAAAAUAUAUGUAUUUUCCAAUUAUGCUCGUGUUAUGAUUUUUUUUGAAUUUCCGUGCUAUUUCGCAAAUUAUUUUUUGUACUCAUACAUAAUUUCAAUUUUUUUUUAGGGAUAUUUAACUUAAAUAAUAACACACAGUAAUUUUGAUCAAUAUUCAAUAGGAAAUUUACAUUUUCAAUUAUUUUCUAUCAAAUUUUAUUUGUAUGUACUAUUUAAACUCGGCGAAAUCAGAAAUGUCAAAACUAUCAAGAUCAGAAUAUUUCACCAAGGGUUGUUUUAUUGGAAAACUUCGUGAAUUGUGUAUAAUAUAUUGCAUUUUAACGAUUAAUCAAAUUAUUAACACACAAUUGCAUACAUUUCGAAAUUUGAAUGACGAGACCGAAGUUGUUAUAAAAAAGGACGUGAUAGAAUUACUUGGAGGCGGUUGGAACUGGAAAGACAAAGCAAUCCAUAAAGAGAAGUUGAUUAUAGGAUUAGCUGUGUGACGUCCCAGCCUUUAGAGGCCUGGAAACCAAUAAGGAGAUGGCGAUAAAUGAUUUCAAAAUUUGAAACUUACGAGCAAAUAUAAUCAAGUUAAAAUAAUAUCAUUAAUAUCUCUACGUCUACGCGAUAUAAUUUAAAUUGCACAACUCUGCGGGAAUAUGUAUUAAUUAAAAUCAUAAUUUUAUCAGAAUCAUUAGUUUAUUAAUCAGAAACUAUUAUAAAUUAAUCACCAUGUAGGUAUUAGGUACUUAUCAAUAAGGCUGUUCAUUAAAAAUUAAAAAUGUUAGUAGUUAAAUUAAAAUACAAGUUCAUUUUAAACAUAGAACUCAUCAUUUGAUUUUUUCAUUGACUUGACUUUUAGCUAUUUUUUAAAAAAAUAACGAGUUAGAUUUGAAUUGUAUCUUUUUUCAAUUGUUUUAAUUUAUACAAUAUUAAAUUUACGAUUCUGAGUUGAGUUCAGUUGAUAACAUUGCUUUGUCAAUUAUUUUGUUAUGCCAUUUAUUAUGGUAAAAUGAUUAAAACAAUAUUUUCUAUGACAACAAUGAUCAUUUUAAAAACAUUAAAAUAAUAAAAAACUUAAUAAUAAUAAAAAAUAAAUAAAAACGGUCGCCAAUGAAAACUUUAUUUUUAAUCUUUCAAUUUUUUUUUACCUAAAGACCGAGGUUUUCCUCAUUAUCUCGAAUAUUACUGAGAAUUUCAAAAAAUGAUCUCUCUACCCAGAGAAAAUUUUCUCUCAGAAAAGAUGCUAUACUUGAUAAUCGGAGUAUGCUUUCUGGUAGAAAAUGUGUUCACAUAAAAAAAAAAAAAACAUUGUAAAACCAAUGCAUUCCACGUUCCAUUCAUAAUCUAAAAAAAUGAAAAACUCGGAUUUAAUCAUUUUUACUUUGAAAAAACCUACAUAUUGCAGAAAAAAAUGAUUUACUUAAGGUAAACACUUCAUUAAAUUUUCCUAACAAACUUUCAACUUUGUUAAUUUAUACAACAAUCGAGUUUUUCAAUAUUAACUUAAUUGUUCAGUCUAGCCUAUUAAUUAUUAGUAAUAGUGUUGUACCGAUUUAUACUGUAACACUUUAUAUACUGAUUAACUAGCUUUGAAUUAUUUAUACAUGCAUACAUAUCGCCCGAUCUUCAUUAUAAACAAUAAUAUUAUAAUAUCGACUCUAAAAUAUUGAUUUUAUAUCGUUUCUUAUUUUGAGAAUGAUAUUUUUCUCUUUUGACCUCGAUUUCGUAUAGAGGUUUUUAUAAUAGUUUUUGACUUACGACUUACGAGUGACGUGCAAUAUGCGUAGGUAGGUACUUCUCAAAAUCAUUUUUACACAUUUCAGGUUUGAAGUGUAUCACUUACAAUAAUAUGUAUAAUAUAUAUUUAUUUGUCAAAAUUAUACUUUACUGCUGAAAUAAACUACAAUAAACUAUGGUAAAACUUUUCCGUAUGCAUAAUAUUAAAAAAAAAAAUAUAUAAGAUUAUUGUUAUAGACCCAAAGAAAGGUAGGGAAUUAAUAACAAUUUUAGUGAUACCUAAAUUCGUUCAUUUUUUUUAAAAACGCAGAAAUUUAUUUGCGCAUUUGUAUCUUAGUAGUGUGAUAAAAGCUCAAAAAUACAUUUUAUUACCAGAUAAAAUGUUGUACACGUUUCACUACAAUAAGUUUCAGAUUGAAAUUUGACGUUCAUUAUAUUUAAUUACUAACUAUGAACGACUGUACGCUCAUACUAUUUUUCUAUUUCAAAAACAACAGGGUUCUAGUUCAUUCGAAGUUUAGUUUUAUUGCAUAGAUUGUAUCGUAACAAAUUACGAUAAUCGACGCGGUUGAUCAUUUAAGAUAACUAUACAGUAUACAGUAUAAUAAUUAAAAUUUAUAAAAAUUGAAAAUUCUGUGAAUGGGAUUUUUUAUAAUUAUAAGUUCAUAGCUAUAGCUCAUUAUUUGAUUUUAUCAGCCAUUUAAUUUUUAAUUGUAGCAAUUUGAGUGAAAUGUUUUGAAUCGUAUACCAGAUAAUAUCCAUCUGUAUAUCAGUUAAUGUUGGCGCUAUAAUAGUGUGCGUAUAUGUUCGGUUUUCACUAAAAUCAAAAUUAUAAGCAUUCAAAAAGUAACUAUUAAAAUGUCAUGUACACUAAUUUAUACAAAAAAUGUGUCCAGUGUAUUGUGUUAUGGCAAACAGAGAUGCAUCUUGGUGAUGUACGAUACCACAAUUUACUUCGACUAUUCAAACUAAUUCUAAAAUAUCCAAAAUGUUGUUAGGAAAUGAAAAUAUAUAUUUUCAUAUUCAUAAUACUGUGAAAAUAUCGUGAAUUUUAGUGACGAAUAGUUUGUAAUAAUUGUAAACGAAAGACGAUUGAAUGUAUUUCGAAGUGACCAAACGAAACGAUAUUAUUUAAAAAAUUGUUUACGAUUUUGGGAUGUAUAUUUUUGCGCUUUUUGGUAGCGUUUGGGUCGUAUUUUAUGCUCAUGGGCUGUAGUCAAAAUUACCUAAAUUUAUCAUGCGUAUACAAUACAAGUAAAUACAUUCACCUUAUUGAAAAAUAUUAUUCAGUUUAAGAGGCUAUUUGUACGAUAAAAUAUUGAGGCGUAUAAUCAGUGAUAACAGCCGACCAAUAGAAAAUACUACCGCGUAAAUAAAAUAACACCCGGAAAAGUACUAUAUUGUUCGUAUAACUUUUUACCGGUGUCCCAUUGUGAGUUUUUUUUGGUUUUGUAGAAAGAGGUCGACACGAUACUAAUUUGCGGUUUAUCCAUUACGCAGCUGAGUACAUACAUAAUAUAUACACGUGUUUAUGCUGAGUAGGUUUUUUUUUUUUUAACGUUAAUCGCGUUGAACAGUUUCGACUUUUGUCAUGGCAAACAAUAUAAUACAAAAACUUACUACGCGAUUUCGUUCCGACAUAACGAUCAAAGAAAACGUAACAAAUGUUGUAGGGAAACUGGUAUAUUUUACGAAACGUCGACUAUAAUAUUGUGCGUUGUACGUAUAUUUGCGGAACUCUGUACGAAACUUUGAGAUUUACGAAAUUUCAUUGUAUUAUAUAAAUAAUAUUGCAGUAACUGCGAUGAUCAAAUUAAUUUAUUUAGUUAUUUCUUUAAAAUAUAACUGAAAAACUAUUAUUUAGAUGAACGUAUUUUUUAUCUGGAAAGAUAAAAAAGAUACAUAAUAUAUUUUUAUCUAAGUUGUGACACACAGUUAAAGGUGAAUAAGAAAAUGUAUCGAUUUUCUAAACUUAAAUAACUCAAAAUCAAUUAUUUAUUGUAAAUAUUUAGUUUAACAUUUUCUUCUAUAUUAAUUCGUUUGGUUAAAAAGUUAAAAUUAAAUUUGGUUACUUUUAUCCGGUCUAUAGAUUAAUUAAUUUGUUUAUAUUCGAUCUUGUUCUCAUUAAGUAGAGUAUAAAUUUAACUUAAUUUCAAUAUAAAACUAUUUAAAUUGAAUUAAUUAAAUUGAUAUGCUACUGAAGUAUAACAAUAAACUGCCAGAAUUAAAUAUACUUUGAAUAAACUUAGUUUAAAACAAUGAUUUAUUUAUCAACAUAUAUUCAAUAUUACGAAAAAUUAUCUAGUUAAGUAAUAUAUGUAUGUAGGAUAUAUAUUUAUAUAAAUUUAAUUGUUUAUUCAGAUUAGAUAAAAUAAUUGUUAACUAGAUAAAUCAGAACGCUAAUUACGGUUAUCGAAUAAAUAAUAUCUUAAAAUAUAAUUUCGUUAUAAUAGACAUCGAAAUUUUCUCACGAGAUUGGCAAAAUUUAUCAUUUUCGGGAAAUACAAUUACAUAAAAAGCUGAAGAAAAAAAAUACAGGCAACAAAAAUUAGGUUAAGUUUACUAAUAAAAUAUAUACUUUUCGCCUAUAAAAUAGACAAUAAAAACGUAGUGGGUGAUAAAUUUAAUGUUGGCAAACGGUUUUCAAACUAUACGGAUGUUCUUACAUAGAUAACAAUUAUUGUAGUUUUGUUAAUUACAGUUCGUUUAAAUCAUAAUAAUUACCUAUAAAACUGCAUAAAAGAAAAUUCCUCUGGACCAUGUCGUUAAAUCACUGCAUGCGAUGCAAUCAAAAACUAUUGAAAUUUCUUUUAGAUUAUAACACAAACUGAUUUUUCAACACGACUUUUUUUUUCCGGUUAGUAUUUGUUAGGAUUAUAUAUCGUAAUAAUAUUAUUAUUAUAACAUAUCCCGCUAAUAUUAUAAAUGCGAACGUUUGUUUGGACGGAUGGAUUUGUGUUGCCCCUACACGCCAAAACUACUGAACGGAUUGAUUUAAAACUUUACAUAAAUGUUGUUCUAAACCAGGAAUACUAUAUAAGCUACUUUCCCUCCACUAAAAAUUAAAUUUCUAAAAGGGCGUUGACACGGGUUUGUUGGCAUUUUCGGUACGAAAAUCGAAUUAUUUUUGUUGAUUUACGGGUUACCUGGUGUUACGGAUGAAAUAAAAAAAUAAAGUUAAAACAAUCCAAACAAAAAAAAAAUAAAUUUAAUUAAAUAUUAUUUCUUUUGGCACGGGCAAGGUGCGCGGAACAGCCAGUAUAUUGUACAACAAAUAUAUUAUUUGAAUAGGAUUUUUUUUGUCCGUGAUGUGGAAAUCGAAUUUUAUACCAACUAUCGUCUAUAUUUAUCAAUUAACAUACAGGAAAUAAGUUGUAUACCACGUAUACGUUUAAUACCUAUUAAGUUCCAGUUGUGAACUUAUAAUAUUAUACAAUCCACAUUUAUACAGAUAUACACACCUGAAUGACUUAAUCGGUAGAUAACUACAGGCACGACGAGGGAAAAUAGCCGAGGAAAAGCGUCCGGUCUAGGUUUUGGGCAGUUAUAAUAAGUGGCCGGCAUCGGUCUAGAAAAUAAACGCAACAUACGUAACAGGUUCAGAUAAAUCACUAACGCAAACUACAAAACGGGCAAUUAUUGUAUUAUAUAAAUCUAUAUAUAUAAAUAUGCAUAUAUCUGUGUAUAGUGAUACACUCGUAUACGGAAUUAAUUUAAUUCCGUCACAAAUAUAAAUGGCCGUACAGUAAUUAUUAAUUAUUAACUAUUUAUAGGCGUUUAAAACGCAAUAAAAAUCGCCUAUCCAAAUCGAGUUAAACAUACGAGCCAUUAAUUAUUUAAACCGUUCUGACCUAAUUAAUAUCUAUAAGUAUAGCUCUUGUAUAACGCAAAAUACACUUUAGAACCGUGAUCGUUGUUAUUUAUACCCACUGAAAGACGUUAAUAUUAUUAAAAUGGGUACCUAAUGGGGAAGGUUACCUAGGGCGUAAAUAUUGGAAAAUAUUUCGUCCGAAAGUAUUUUGUCGGAGAACUUUUUUUUCGGAAAAAAUAAUUAGUCGAAAACUACUUUCUAACGAUUUAUUUAUCCGAAAAAAUACAGUGCCAAUAAAAUACUUUCCAAUAAAUUAUAGCCCUCCAUCUAUAUUAGUACGACUUUUGUACAGCGACUACUGGCGUGCGCAGUGGUAAGACAUUAGGGGUUAUAUCUCCUCUUAUCAAUCGCUUGAAAAUACAAAAUCUACGAGCAAUAAUUAUUUGGUAAUUUUCUUUUAAUAAUAUUAUAAUAUAAUAUUAAAGUCAAGGUAUUUCAAGAAAUAAAGGUUGUUUUAUUAAAUAAAUGUCGAAUUUUUAAAUCUUCAUUGCAACUCAUAGAAGAAGUAAAUGUUACCAUUUACUUACAUAUCAUGAUUAUUAUUUACUACUUACGUUCCCACGCAUUCAACAUUUCUGGGCACUCCAUUUUUCGAGUAUCAUAAUAUUAUAAUGUCUGUAUCGGGCUUCAAUUGUUGCAGAGAUUUCUUACUCAAUGACGAGAAAUCCCGAAAAUAUAACUUUAGUUAAUGGAUUUUACAGACGGUAUCUUAAUUUUCAAAUGAUCUAUUAACUACUGACUGGAUAGGUACUAGUAUAGUCACAUAUUUUAUCGUUGUACGUGCUCAGUUCAUAUUUUAUAUUCCGAGCGUAGUUAUUACUGAAUAAUAGGGGAGAUUGGAUCUACGAUCUACCGAAAUUUUCACUGAAUAUAUUUUGUCGUUUUUCUAGAAUAAUUGGUAGGGUAGAACAAUUAAUAUUCAAUAAUAAUCACAAUCGCCGCAUGAUAAUUUCUUAUCGCAACAGUAGUUAAUUGGAUAUCGUUUUCACACUUUUUUCUAGAAAUAAAAACGGCUUCUAUUAAGAAACUAUUCAUCGGAUAUGAAUGUGUGAUACAUUAAAGCGUUUAGAACAAUAUCUUUUAAAAAAUGGCUAUUUUGAAAAUGUUGUAAAGUUAAUAAAUAAAGAGUUCUUUAAAGAGGUCUUUUUUUUGAUUACCCCAAUAAAUUCGAAAAACCGAGAAAAACGUAGAAAAAACGGGAAAAUAGCUGGUACAAUAAUAAAAAAAUAUCUUUAAAGAGAAUGUUUAAUGCAUAUGCAAUUAUUUUACCAUAAUACGACAUGUAUAAUAUAUAUUGUUGACAAAACAAUAUUUUGUUAAGUAAUGGAAUAUAAUAGGUAUUUAUUUUUUUAUAGAUUGAAGCGUCAUAUUUAAAGUUCCUCAAUAUUUUUAGAUUAACUCUGAAAAUAUAUUUUUUGAGUUGUGUUAGUUGUAUAAUAAAAGAGAAAUAUAAAAAUGUCCACAAUGAAUAUAUUUUGUUAACAUUUUUACUUUUGAUGUUUUCCUAUUUAUUUACUAACAUUUUCUUUAAGUACCUAGUGUAAUAAUAUUUUGUACUAUGAAUUUUUGCAAAGUUGGAAGUUUUGGCGCUGUCUUGAAAGCUUUGUCGCCGUUGUUAAUUUUACGUUUUGUUUUAUAAUAUACUUUAUACUCGGUAGAUACCAAACAAAUUUAUAUAAAAGCUUGUUUUUCGUUUACUUCGGGAACGCAGAUUUUUAUUAUUUUUCUGUAAAUUCUCUCAAAAUAGAAACUUUUAGACAAGGUAGAUUAAAUAUUGCGCUCAAUGAUUAUACCCAAAACAUUUCUCAAUAAUGUUUUCUUUACAAACACACAAGACCCGUUUAGAUAUUGAAAUACUAAAAUAUGUAAAGUGAUUACAUAAUCAUUGUAAUUUUUUUUCUUUUACAGAUUUUAUUUGAAUAUCAAAGAGAAUAAACAGAUUGUAAUCAUAGGAAAUUUGAUGCAGC